RNAcentral lists this ribosomal RNA (936 nucleotides) under Bacillus velezensis. RNAcentral describes it as "bacterial SSU rRNA". It matches the Rfam family "Bacterial small subunit ribosomal RNA", at positions 72 to 991 of the family's 1533-position model. Lineage: Bacteria; Bacillati; Bacillota; Bacilli; Caryophanales; Bacillaceae. The record is from RNAcentral.
AUGGGAGCUUGCUCCCUGAUGUUAGCGGCGGACGGGUGAGUAACACGUGGGUAACCUGCCUGUAAGACUGGGAUAACUCCGGGAAACCGGGGCUAAUACCGGAUGGUUGUUUGAACCGCAUGGUUCAGACAUAAAAGGUGGCUUCGGCUACCACUUACAGAUGGACCCGCGGCGCAUUAGCUAGUUGGUGAGGUAACGGCUCACCAAGGCAACGAUGCGUAGCCGACCUGAGAGGGUGAUCGGCCACACUGGGACUGAGACACGGCCCAGACUCCUACGGGAGGCAGCAGUAGGGAAUCUUCCGCAAUGGACGAAAGUCUGACGGAGCAACGCCGCGUGAGUGAUGAAGGUUUUCGGAUCGUAAAGCUCUGUUGUUAGGGAAGAACAAGUGCCGUUCAAAUAGGGCGGCACCUUGACGGUACCUAACCAGAAAGCCACGGCUAACUACGUGCCAGCAGCCGCGGUAAUACGUAGGUGGCAAGCGUUGUCCGGAAUUAUUGGGCGUAAAGGGCUCGCAGGCGGUUUCUUAAGUCUGAUGUGAAAGCCCCCGGCUCAACCGGGGAGGGUCAUUGGAAACUGGGGAACUUGAGUGCAGAAGAGGAGAGUGGAAUUCCACGUGUAGCGGUGAAAUGCGUAGAGAUGUGGAGGAACACCAGUGGCGAAGGCGACUCUCUGGUCUGUAACUGACGCUGAGGAGCGAAAGCGUGGGGAGCGAACAGGAUUAGAUACCCUGGUAGUCCACGCCGUAAACGAUGAGUGCUAAGUGUUAGGGGGUUUCCGCCCCUUAGUGCUGCAGCUAACGCAUUAAGCACUCCGCCUGGGGAGUACGGUCGCAAGACUGAAACUCAAAGGAAUUGACGGGGGCCCGCACAAGCGGGGGAGCAUGUGGGUUAAUUCCAAAGAACGCGAAAAACCUUUCCCGGGUUGGAAUCCUCU